RNAcentral lists this ribosomal RNA (255 nucleotides) under uncultured bacterium. RNAcentral describes it as "partial 16S ribosomal RNA". It matches the Rfam family "Bacterial small subunit ribosomal RNA", at positions 524 to 776 of the family's 1533-position model. The record is from RNAcentral.
UACGUAGGGUGCGAGCGUUAAUCGGAAUUACUGGGCGUAAAGCGUGCGCAGGCGGUUCGUUGUGUCGGUGGUGAAAGCCCCGGGCUUAACCCUGGGAAUGGCCAUGGAAACUGGCGAACUGGAGUGUGGCAGAGGGGGGUGGAAUUCCGGCGUGUAGCAGUGAAAUGCGUAGAUAUCGGAAGGAACACCAGUGGCGAAGGCGACUGUCUGGCCUGAUACUGACGCUGAGGCGCGAAAGCGUGGGGAGCAAACAGG